AUUGAACGCUGGCGGCAUGCUUUACACAUGCAAGUCGAACGGCAGCGCGGGGCAACCUGGCGGCGAGUGGCGAACGGGUGAGUAAUACAUCGGAACGUACCCAGAAGUGGGGGAUAACGUAGCGAAAGUUACGCUAAUACCGCAUACGUUCUACGGAAGAAAGUGGGGGACCUUCGGGCCUCAUGCUUUUGGAGCGGCCGAUGUCUGAUUAGCUAGUUGGUGAGGUAAAGGCUCACCAAGGCGACGAUCAGUAGCUGGUCUGAGAGGACGACCAGCCACACUGGGACUGAGACACGGCCCAGACUCCUACGGGAGGCAGCAGUGGGGAAUUUUGGACAAUAGGCGCAAGCCUGAUCCAGCAAUGCCGCGUGAGUGAAGAAGGCCUUCGGGUUGUAAAGCUCUUUUGUCAGGGAAGAAACGGCUGAGGAUAAUACCUUCGGCUAAUGACGGUACCUGAAGAAUAAGCACCGGCUAACUACGUG
Molecule: ribosomal RNA, 482 nt
Filed under: uncultured bacterium
Lineage: Bacteria
Description: partial 16S ribosomal RNA
Rfam family: Bacterial small subunit ribosomal RNA
Source: RNAcentral